ACAGGGUGUGCACUAUCAUCGUAACAGCAGAGACGGAGAGCAAGAUGUGAGGAGGUUAAAAGUCAGGGUCAGAAGUUCAGGUUGCUCUGACCCUCAAAUCAAUUUCAAGCACUGUUUGUGACAUUUUCCUGUGUUCCCUCGCUUGAUGUUAGUCUUUGCAAUGAACCACCGAAUCAGACUUCAGGGCUCAUGGGACUUUGGGGUUUCAGUAGGGUCAGGUCAAUUUCUACCUACCAGUGUACUGUCACCUAUGAGGCAAACCAUUAUCUAGGCGUUUGAGAACCUCAAAGUUUUGAAGCUCUGAGGGGAAAGAGAGAGGAUGAAGCGCUGGGGCCCCUGUGUCUUUGGGGCCUGACAUAGCUCAACCUGUGGCUUCAGGGGGACCGUGUGCAGCCAGGUCACAGUGGUACCGGAAAGGGAUCCUGAUCCAGACCCCAAGAGAGGGUUCUUGGAUCUCGUGCAAGAAAAAAUUCAGGCUGAUGGCACUAAGGCUGAACCCAGAAGCUGCAGCAGUGGACGGAUGAUGAUCUGAAGAAAUGAGAUCCCUGAUGGGCUUGGAAGUCAUGGUUCCUGUAACCAUGAUGUCACACCCUCGUCCUGACACCGAGAUGGGCUGGACACAUCUGUCACCCAGGGCAAACAAAAUGCUUGGUCUGCAUCUUUCAGAAGAAAACUAAAAAUCAAGUAAUUUCUUAGAAGUUUGCUUGCGUGUGGCUUAAGUCUUCUUCUCCUGUUGAGGAAGGUGUUGAGUUUGACCAUGACAGCCCCACCCAGUCCUUGGCUCAUCUCACCCAUCAAAGAGGAUCUGGAGAUUCAGAGCUAUGCCGUGGAAGACCUUGUCAGAGCACCAGGCCAUACUGUGCUGCAGGUGGGGUUCAGGUGCCCAGUGACAACCACCGGGGCCGCUCAUCCCUAAACGUCUGUUGAACUUAAAGUUCUACUCAAGACUUUCUACAUUAAAUACCCUUUCAUACAGCAAAAUCAGCCAUGUUCUGAGAUGUGAAACUGCAGCACAAAGUUACUGUGGUCUCCACCUAUAGAAAUGGAAUGUUACUUCAUAAAGCCCCAGGCCAAAAAAGAAACCCCAAAACUCUGAAACGACACCCUUAAAUUUAACCUGAACAUCUGGCCAGCCUCCUCCAUCAUUGAAACUUCUCCUGAGUGUUGGCAUGGAUCCUAUGUUUCUCCAGCCAGGGAGCUUUGCUCCCCAUUCUUGAUGGACCCACUGAGUCCCAAUUUUCUACAUUUUACUUGGGUCAUUCCACCACUUUGGGAUGCUUUUCCUACUCUGUUGUACUUUAAAAAUGUUUCUUCUUUCCUAUUCUCAGCUUCACGCAUUUGUCUUCUUUCUCAAUUCAACUUGCUUAGUUCUCGCUACAUCAAUUCCUAGAGCCAUCCAUCUGCACUUCUGAAUCAUUUAAGUUUUGUUUGGCUACAAGUAAUGGAAACCCACUCUGAGUAACUCAAGCAAGAACUGGAAUUUAUUGGAAGGACAGUGGGAUAUAUCAUAAGAUCCAAAAAGAAUUGAACAAAUAAAAUUUCAGAGGGAAGAAAAAGGGCAGCUCCAGUGACUUCAGCAACAAGACAACAUAAGUCUUUCUAGAGCAUAGCUACUAAUAUUAUUCAGCUGCAAGAGCCCCUCCCCAUGAGAAACUUGAUUGAAAAUUCUGAUUUCCCACAGAGAAGAAUCUGAUCGACUCAGUUUAGCUUUGGUUGCCCAACUGCUCAAUCUUGCAUGAAUUAUUUCCAGCCAAGGGGACAAGGUGUAUUAUAGGGACACACCUGCUUUCUCCAAAGAAAAGAUCUGGGCAUUUCCUGAUCAUUUCCCUGAGAAGGAGGAAUCAUUGUGAGCCAAGAAGAUACCUCAAGUAUAAUGAGCUCAGUUACACUUUUUUGAUAUCUGAGUAUUUGGUAUGUAGUGUGCAUUUUAAAAAACAUGUCUCUCUCCAGGACAAUGUUAACCUCUUCCACGGUGGAGUGGGGCUAUGUGAUUUUGUGCUUAAUUUACCUAGCUGGUGGGCCUCCAGUAGAGGCUGUAGUCGAGCCAGCUGAUACCACAUCAGUUCUCCAAAGGAACAAAAGCUGCCCUUCCUUCCUUAUUGCAAAGUUUGACAAAAAGCAAAACGUGAAGAAUAAAAGCGACUUGCAUUGUCUAACAUCUACCGCAGUGUUUGAGCUGCAGCUGCUCCUCCUCCCCUGAUUGUUUUCAAAUAUUUCUUCAAAAAAGGCAUUAAAGAAAAACACAAGAUAUUGCACAGGGAACCAAAACAAAUCACAAUCUUCAAGGACAAAGCAUUGCAAAAUGGCUUACAUCCCCAAAUGGGAACAGAUAUGGUUGGAAAUUAAAACAAUCUUUUUUAUUUUAAGCGGAAAUGCUAGCAGAUGCCACAAGAAACAUAUGGAACUCGCCACAGACAAAUAGGGAAUGCUUUCUGCGUGUGGAAGUAGAGCAAAGGGAGUGACCACCUCUGACUGUCAGGGGGAACCAUCAGCUCGAACUGUUUGCUAUGGCAGGAGGGAGUUUGCAGAGUCCGGAGUCCUGCCCUCAUGAAAAAGCUUUAACGGUCUUGACUGAGUAAUUUAAGUCAUUCUUGUCAGGGAGUUUCAGAACACUAUGCACAAUUAUAUUUAUUUCACAAUGCAUUGAUUCCAGAUAUCUUUUUAAAUGUGCUUACCUCUGUGUGCGUUGUUACCUGUUCCCUCUUUGAAUCUCUGAAUGAAACAAAAUAAAUAGGAAAAAAUGGAGACAUAGAAGCAUUGUCCACAAGGCAUCUCCCACUCUAGAGGUCUCCCAGCCCCGUGCUAGCUUGUUAAUUUAUUAUCGCUUGUCUGUCAAACAAGGAAGAUAUAAUUUGCCACACAACAUGUUUUCCUAAAGCAAUGUUUUUGUACAAUUUCCUGAUUUCCAAAAAUAUGACCAAUGAUAUUCUGGUUGA
Molecule: long non-coding RNA, 2936 nt
Filed under: Homo sapiens (human)
Lineage: Eukaryota; Metazoa; Chordata; Mammalia; Primates; Hominidae
Description: non-protein coding LINC00838:1
Source: RNAcentral